UUAAGCGACUAAGCGUACACGGUGGAUGCCCUGGCAGUCAGAGGCGAUGAAGGACGUGCUAAUCUGCGAUAAGCGUCGGUAAGGUGAUAUGAACCGUUAUAACCGGCGAUUUCCGAAUGGGGAAACCCAGUGUGUUUCGACACACUAUCAUUAACUGAAUCCAUAGGUUAAUGAGGCGAACCGGGGGAACUGAAACAUCUAAGUACCCCGAGGAAAAGAAAUCAACCGAGAUUCCCCCAGUAGCGGCGAGCGAACGGGGAGCAGCCCAGAGCCUGAAUCAGUGUGUGUGUUAGUGGAAGCGUCUGGAAAGGCGCGCGAUACAGGGUGACAGCCCCGUACACAAAAAUGCACAUAUUGUGAGCUCGAUGAGUAGGGCGGGACACGUGGUAUCCUGUCUGAAUAUGGGGGGACCAUCCUCCAAGGCUAAAUACUCCUGACUGACCGAUAGUGAACCAGUACCGUGAGGGAAAGGCGAAAAGAACCCCGGCGAGGGGAGUGAAAAAGAACCUGAAACCGUGUACGUACAAGCAGUGGGAGCACGCUUAGGCGUGUGACUGCGUACCUUUUGUAUAAUGGGUCAGCGACUUAUAUUCUGUAGCAAGGUUAACCGAAUAGGGGAGCCGAAGGGAAACCGAGUCUUAACUGGGCGUUAAGUUGCAGGGUAUAGACCCGAAACCCGGUGAUCUAGCCAUGGGCAGGUUGAAGGUUGGGUAACACUAACUGGAGGACCGAACCGACUAAUGUUGAAAAAUUAGCGGAUGACUUGUGGCUGGGGGUGAAAGGCCAAUCAAACCGGGAGAUAGCUGGUUCUCCCCGAAAGCUAUUUAGGUAGCGCCUCGUGAAUUCAUCUCCGGGGGUAGAGCACUGUUUCGGCAAGGGGGUCAUCCCGACUUACCAACCCGAUGCAAACUGCGAAUACCGGAGAAUGUUAUCACGGGAGACACACGGCGGGUGCUAACGUCCGUCGUGAAGAGGGAAACAACCCAGACCGCCAGCUAAGGUCCCAAAGUCAUGGUUAAGUGGGAAACGAUGUGGGAAGGCCCAGACAGCCAGGAUGUUGGCUUAGAAGCAGCCAUCAUUUAAAGAAAGCGUAAUAGCUCACUGGUCGAGUCGGCCUGCGCGGAAGAUGUAACGGGGCUAAACCAUGCACCGAAGCUGCGGCAGCGACGCUUAUGCGUUGUUGGGUAGGGGAGCGUUCUGUAAGCCUGUGAAGGUGUGCUGUGAGGCAUGCUGGAGGUAUCAGAAGUGCGAAUGCUGACAUAAGUAACGAUAAAGCGGGUGAAAAGCCCGCUCGCCGGAAGACCAAGGGUUCCUGUCCAACGUUAAUCGGGGCAGGGUGAGUCGACCCCUAAGGCGAGGCCGAAAGGCGUAGUCGAUGGGAAACAGGUUAAUAUUCCUGUACUUGGUGUUACUGCGAAGGGGGGACGGAGAAGGCUAUGUUGGCCGGGCGACGGUUGUCCCGGUUUAAGCGUGUAGGCUGGUUUUCCAGGCAAAUCCGGAAAAUCAAGGCUGAGGCGUGAUGACGAGGCACUACGGUGCUGAAGCAACAAAUGCCCUGCUUCCAGGAAAAGCCUCUAAGCAUCAGGUAACAUCAAAUCGUACCCCAAACCGACACAGGUGGUCAGGUAGAGAAUACCAAGGCGCUUGAGAGAACUCGGGUGAAGGAACUAGGCAAAAUGGUGCCGUAACUUCGGGAGAAGGCACGCUGAUAUGUAGGUGAAGCGACUUGCUCGUGGAGCUGAAAUCAGUCGAAGAUACCAGCUGGCUGCAACUGUUUAUUAAAAACACAGCACUGUGCAAACACGAAAGUGGACGUAUACGGUGUGACGCCUGCCCGGUGCCGGAAGGUUAAUUGAUGGGGUCAGCGCAAGCGAAGCUCUUGAUCGAAGCCCCGGUAAACGGCGGCCGUAACUAUAACGGUCCUAAGGUAGCGAAAUUCCUUGUCGGGUAAGUUCCGACCUGCACGAAUGGCGUAAUGAUGGCCAGGCUGUCUCCACCCGAGACUCAGUGAAAUUGAACUCGCUGUGAAGAUGCAGUGUACCCGCGGCAAGACGGAAAGACCCCGUGAACCUUUACUAUAGCUUGACACUGAACAUUGAGCCUUGAUGUGUAGGAUAGGUGGGAGGCUUAGAAGUGUGGACGCCAGUCUGCAUGGAGCCGACCUUGAAAUACCACCCUUUAAUGUUUGAUGUUCUAACGUUGACCCGUAAUCCGGGUUGCGGACAGUGUCUGGUGGGUAGUUUGACUGGGGCGGUCUCCUCCUAAAGAGUAACGGAGGAGCACGAAGGUUGGCUAAUCCUGGUCGGACAUCAGGAGGUUAGUGCAAUGGCAUAAGCCAGCUUGACUGCGAGCGUGACGGCGCGAGCAGGUGCGAAAGCAGGUCAUAGUGAUCCGGUGGUUCUGAAUGGAAGGGCCAUCGCUCAACGGAUAAAAGGUACUCCGGGGAUAACAGGCUGAUACCGCCCAAGAGUUCAUAUCGACGGCGGUGUUUGGCACCUCGAUGUCGGCUCAUCACAUCCUGGGGCUGAAGUAGGUCCCAAGGGUAUGGCUGUUCGCCAUUUAAAGUGGUACGCGAGCUGGGUUUAGAACGUCGUGAGACAGUUCGGUCCCUAUCUGCCGUGGGCGCUGGAGAACUGAGGGGGGCUGCUCCUAGUACGAGAGGACCGGAGUGGACGCAUCACUGGUGUUCGGGUUGUCAUGCCAAUGGCACUGCCCGGUAGCUAAAUGCGGAAGAGAUAAGUGCUGAAAGCAUCUAAGCACGAAACUUGCCCCGAGAUGAGUUCUCCCUGACCCUUUAAGGGUCCUGAAGGAACGUUGAAGACGACGACGUUGAUAGGCCGGGUGUGUAAGCGCAGCGAUGCGUUGAGCUAACCGGUACUAAUGAACCGUGAGGCUUAACCUU
Molecule: ribosomal RNA, 2902 nt
Filed under: Escherichia coli
Lineage: Bacteria; Pseudomonadati; Pseudomonadota; Gammaproteobacteria; Enterobacterales; Enterobacteriaceae
Description: bacterial LSU rRNA
Rfam family: Bacterial large subunit ribosomal RNA
Source: RNAcentral